GUGUUGACCUUGAUUGUAAUUGUGAUGCUUUUCAUCUGCUUUUUAAUGAGACACAAGCAGAACAAAGCAGAAUCAUCAGCCACAGCAAUGGUAAGUUGUACUGAUUUACUUCUAUGUGGGCAUCGUACAUGAUACUAAAAGAAUAGAGAAAGUGAAACAGUUUCAUAAUUACAGUUUGGCAGAUGUUUGAACUGUGUUUUGUUCUUCAAUGCAGACUGGAGAUGAAGUAACAUACUCUGAAGUCAGACCCAAGAAAAGACGUUCACCCAAGGUAACCAAGUACAGCAGUAUCAAGCAAUUCAAAUCUGAGAAUUUUCAGUGAACAUACCGGUCAUCUGAGAGUACAUUGGAUAUAUAAUCUAUUAUAGAUUCAUUUCUAAUAUGUCUGAGAAAAUUGAAUCCUUAUAUGGGAAACUGUUCUUGUAUUUUUUAUAACUUGCAAAAUAAAACAGCUAUCAGAAGAAAUUAGAUCAUGAGUCACAAAGCUGUAUUUUGCUUCUGAAGAUUCAAACCUCUACCUCUUCUCUUUCAUUUAAAUACUGGUAUUUUAUCAAUAACACUGAUACCUGGCACUUAGACUAGUGAGAGUACUAGAAUAGUAGAGAAGUACCCACCAGAUUUGUAAAUGUAGGUUACCCUAACAUACUAGAACUGCACAUUUACACUUGAGAAUAUACGUAGAGUUUAAUGUAUUUUUUCUUAAAGCACAGCAGAAAUGUAAAUAGUCCAAUUUCUAUAUUUCUUCUCUUCCAGAGUUCAUUUGCUGAAAGUGAUGUGGAAAUCAUGUACAGUUCAGUUGUUAAGAAAAAGUGUACGGAAAGGGGUGACAGAGAAGCCACAGAAGUUACAUACAGCACAUUAGCUGAAAUGUUUUAA
Molecule: long non-coding RNA, 876 nt
Filed under: Oreochromis niloticus (Nile tilapia)
Lineage: Eukaryota; Metazoa; Chordata; Actinopteri; Cichliformes; Cichlidae
Description: lncRNA (ENSONIG00000032000.1)
Source: RNAcentral